This 512-nucleotide ribosomal RNA is filed under the name uncultured bacterium. RNAcentral describes it as "bacterial SSU rRNA". It matches the Rfam family "Bacterial small subunit ribosomal RNA", at positions 956 to 1467 of the family's 1533-position model. The record is from RNAcentral.
GCAACGCGAAGAACCUUACCAGGUCUUGACAUCCUCUGACAACCCUAGAGAUAGGGCGUUCCCCUUCGGGGGACAGAGUGACAGGUGGUGCAUGGUUGUCGUCAGCUCGUGUCGUGAGAUGUUGGGUUAAGUCCCGCAACGAGCGCAACCCUUGAUCUUAGUUGCCAGCAUUAAGUUGGGCACUCUAAGGUGACUGCCGGUGACAAACCGGAGGAAGGUGGGGAUGACGUCAAAUCAUCAUGCCCCUUAUGACCUGGGCUACACACGUGCUACAAUGGAUGGUACAAAGGGCUGCAAAACCGCGAGGUCGAGCAAAUCCCAUAAAGCCAUUCUCAGUUCGGAUUGUAGGCUGCAACUCGCCUACAUGAAGCUGGAAUCGCUAGUAAUCGCGGAUCAGCAUGCCGCGGUGAAUACGUUCCCGGGCCUUGUACACACCGCCCGUCACACCACGAGAGUUUGUAACACCCGAAGUCGGUGAGGUAACCUUUUGGAGCCAGCCGCCGAAGGUGGGA